This 655-nucleotide long non-coding RNA is filed under the name Citrus sinensis (sweet orange). RNAcentral's name for it is "long non-coding RNA (CSIN_LNC003820)". Lineage: Eukaryota; Viridiplantae; Streptophyta; Magnoliopsida; Sapindales; Rutaceae. The record is from RNAcentral.
CUUUCGGGUAUUUGAAGAACCUCCACAACAUAGUAUCUGAUGCUGCAUUACAUUUUGAGUGGAAAACCCAAGAAUAUGUAACACCCGAGAGAAUAAAUUUGUUUCUCAUGUAUAUCUAAUUUGCUUUUGCCUUGGGAGCCUUCUUCUUGUGUUGCCUCCGUGGAAGUGAGUUCUUCAUCCCAAUAAAGAAAAGCAAUGCACCAAAGAUAGCAAUGCUCUGCGAUAAGAUGGAUGAAAAAGUAUUAAAAAAAAAAAACACCUAUUAGUAUCCACCAGUAGAAUCACAAACAUGCAGGAAAAGAAAAAAAUAGCAGAUGCAAAUUCAAACAAACCUGCAAGAACUCGUUUAAGAGAGGAGUGAAUUCAGGGUGCUUGGGGCUGUAGUUGUAGAAAUCAUACAAAAGUGGAGAGCUAAGCGCCACAUAGACAAGCUGCAUAACAGAGGAAUAACAGAUAAUAAUUAAUACGAGUACUCAUUGAGCAGAAAAAAAAGCAGUAGCUGCUAGCUGAAGUUGAGCUGUAUCUUCUUCAUGCUUGUGAGGUAAUUAAUUAAUUAAGAUCCAAAAGGAAGAAAAUCCCUCACCAGGAGGAAAGCUCCAAAGGAGUUGCCAAAUACAAAUAGAAACCCUCCAACUCCUUUCAGAAAGAUAUUUGU